GCCGAGCUUUUUGCCGGAAGGCACCAUCUUGGAAGCCGCCUUUGCCGCUUGCGCCCAGUGUAAAACUUCUCAACACUUCUAUUACGGAACAAUUAGUACUACUUGCCCGGGGGUGACGUUUUUCAGAUGCGCUGCCAACAGAACGACCUGUGUGAGGGCAUCACGCAAGCAUGACGUUCUGAAAAGAAGUCUGCAGCAAGAGCCCGGGCCCUGCGCAGCCGCCGACCCGCUACCCUGUCGCCCAGGGCAAGCUGGUGCCAGCGCUCCCAGUGUCGCCUGGAUGACAUAACGACAGAGUUCUUUAAAACUGUGUCCUCUUUUUACGAUUUAACCAAAAACUGUGAGACAGCUUUAAUCAGAAAAUAGAUUGCUUAUUGAAUAAAUACAUUAAUCAGGA
Non-coding RNA from Microcebus murinus (gray mouse lemur), 397 nucleotides. NCBI's taxonomy places the organism in Eukaryota, Metazoa, Chordata, Mammalia, Primates, Cheirogaleidae. The record is from RefSeq and is a predicted model, not a curated record.